This 256-nucleotide ribosomal RNA is filed under the name uncultured bacterium. RNAcentral's name for it is "partial 16S ribosomal RNA". It matches the Rfam family "Bacterial small subunit ribosomal RNA", at positions 524 to 776 of the family's 1533-position model. The record is from RNAcentral.
UACAGAGGUGGCAAGCGUUGUUCGGAAUUACUGGGCGUAAAGGGCGCGUAGGCGGUCUUGUAAGUCUUGUGUGAAAUCCCUCGGCUUAACUGAGGAACUGCACGGGAUACUGCGAGACUUGAGUUCGGGAGAGGGAAGCGGAAUUCCGGGUGUAGCGGUGAAAUGCGUAGAUAUCAGGAGGAACACCGGUGGCGAAGGCGGGGUCUCUGGGCCGAAAAUUGACGCUGAGGCACGAAAGCGUGGGGGAGCAAACAGG